UCCAAAUGUUAAAAUCUUGCUUUUUUCCUCC
RNAcentral lists this non-coding RNA (31 nucleotides) under Mus musculus (house mouse). Lineage: Eukaryota; Metazoa; Chordata; Mammalia; Rodentia; Muridae. The record is from RNAcentral.